This 433-nucleotide ribosomal RNA is filed under the name uncultured bacterium. RNAcentral describes it as "partial 16S ribosomal RNA". It matches the Rfam family "Bacterial small subunit ribosomal RNA", at positions 29 to 507 of the family's 1533-position model. The record is from RNAcentral.
AACGAACGCUGGCGGCAUGCCUAACACAUGCAAGUCGAACGAGACCUUCGGGUCUAGUGGCGCAUGGGUGCGUAACGCGUGGGAAUCUGCCCUUGGGUUCGGAAUAACAGUUGGAAACGACUGCUAAUACCGGAUGAUGACGUAAGUCCAAAGAUUUAUCGCCCAAGGAUGAGCCCGCGUAGGAUUAGCUAGUUGGUGAGGUAAAGGCUCACCAAGGCGACGAUCCUUAGCUGGUCUGAGAGGAUGAUCAGCCACACUGGGACUGAGACACGGCCCAGACUCCUACGGGAGGCAGCAGUGGGGAAUAUUGGACAAUGGGCGAAAGCCUGAUCCAGCAAUGCCGCGUGAGUGAUGAAGGCCUUAGGGUUGUAAAGCUCUUUUACCCGGGAUGAUAAUGACAGUACCGGGAGAAUAAGCGCCGGCUAACUCCGUG